This 500-nucleotide ribosomal RNA is filed under the name uncultured bacterium. RNAcentral describes it as "partial 16S ribosomal RNA". It matches the Rfam family "Bacterial small subunit ribosomal RNA", at positions 30 to 523 of the family's 1533-position model. The record is from RNAcentral.
AUUGAACGCUGGCGGCAUGCCUUACACAUGCAAGUCGAACGGCAGCACGGGAGCAAUCCUGGUGGCGAGUGGCGAACGGGUGAGUAAAGUAUCGGAACGUGCCCAGUCGUGGGGGAUCACGUAGCGAAAGUUACGCUAAUACCGCAUACGAUCUAUGGAUGAAAGCGGGGGAUCGCAAGACCUCGCGCGAUUGGAGCGGCCGAUAUCAGAUUAGGUAGUUGGUGGGGUAAAGGCUCACCAAGCCGACGAUCUGUAGCUGGUCUGAGAGGACGACCAGCCACACUGGGACUGAGACACGGCCCAGACUCCUACGGGAGGCAGCAGUGGGGAACUUUGGACAAUGGGCGAAAGCCUGAUCCAGCCAUGCCGCGUGCAGGAUGAAGGCCUUCGGGUUGUAAACUGCUUUUGUACGGAACGAAAAGGUUUGGCCUAAUAAGCUGAGCUCAUGACGGUACCGUAAGAAUAAGCACCGGCUAACUACGUGCCAGCCGCCGCGGUAU